This 505-nucleotide ribosomal RNA is filed under the name uncultured bacterium. Its description in RNAcentral is "partial 16S ribosomal RNA". It matches the Rfam family "Bacterial small subunit ribosomal RNA", at positions 28 to 507 of the family's 1533-position model. The record is from RNAcentral.
GACGAACGCUGGCGGCGUGCCUAAUACAUGCAAGUAGAACGCACAGUUUAUACCGUAGCUUGCUACACCAUAAACUGUGAGUUGCGAACGGGUGAGUAACGCGUAGGUAACCUGCCUGGUAGCGGGGGAUAACUAUUGGAAACGAUAGCUAAUACCGCAUAAUAUUGAUUAUUGCAUGAUAAUUGAUUGAAAGAUGCUAUUGCAUCACUACCAGAUGGACCUGCGUUGUAUUAGCUAGUAGGUGAGGUAACGGCUCACCUAGGCGACGAUACAUAGCCGAACUGAGAGGGUGAUCGGCCACACUGGGACUGAGACACGGCCCAGACUCCUACGGGAGGCAGCAGUAGGGAAUCUUCGGCAAUAGAUGAAAGUCUGACCGAGCAACGCCGCGUGAGUGAAGAAGGUUUUCGGAUCGUAAAGCUCUGUUGUAAGAGAAGAACGGGUGUGAGAGUGGAAAGCUCACACUGUGACGGUAUCUUACCAGAAAGGGACGGCUAACUACGUG